AGAGUGCACUGCAGCAGAGUGUGUCUUCCCAUCCAGACCUGUCUCUUGCUUCAACAGUGUUCGGAGGGAACAGACCCAGGACGCCCCUUCUUCCAGCUCCGGCCUCUCUCCUGCGUCUCAUCCAGUCACCACCUCCAGGACCACCUCCGGACCAGCCAACACACCGGUUUUUUGUUUUAUUUUUCUAAUUUA
This is a long non-coding RNA of Pipistrellus kuhlii (Kuhl's pipistrelle), 192 nucleotides long. RefSeq lists it as uncharacterized. The transcript is spliced from 5 exons. The record is from RefSeq and is a predicted model, not a curated record. NCBI's taxonomy places the organism in Eukaryota, Metazoa, Chordata, Mammalia, Chiroptera, Vespertilionidae.